GCACUCGUCGUUCAACGGAUAGGACGCAAGCUUGCGGAGCUUGUAAUACAGGUUCGAUUCCUGUCGAGUGCACCA
RNAcentral lists this transfer RNA (75 nucleotides) under Parcubacteria group bacterium CG1_02_44_31. RNAcentral's name for it is "tRNA-Arg". It matches the Rfam family "tRNA". Rfam says of the family: Transfer RNA (tRNA) molecules are approximately 80 nucleotides in length. The record is from RNAcentral. RNAcentral also lists the same sequence under 1 other name.